CUUCUGCGCCGCCUCCAGCUCAUUGCGGUCUGGAAGGGAAGACGAUGCAAGAUGCCCUCCUCUAUUUUGCAGCAGAACUCAUUGGUUAUCAGCGUCAGUAGAAAGAGAAGCAAGUUGGUGGCUCUUCCCCAUCUCUGGUGGCCAUGUUCGACAGCAGCUUCCUGAUUGCUGCCCUUCCCAAGACCAACUCUGCACAAAAUGAUUAUCAAGUGGACCUCCUUGUACAAGGCCUAGUAUGACGGUGCAUUCAACCACUGAAUAUUAAGUCUGCUCACACCCCCUAUAAGCGCA
This is a long non-coding RNA of Pristis pectinata (smalltooth sawfish), 291 nucleotides long. RefSeq lists it as uncharacterized. The record is from RefSeq and is a predicted model, not a curated record. NCBI's taxonomy places the organism in Eukaryota, Metazoa, Chordata, Chondrichthyes, Rhinopristiformes, Pristidae. The transcript is spliced from 3 exons.